GCGACAAUCUAAGGGUGGCGACUAUUGUUCCAGCAAGCCGAAGAUGAGUCGGUUGAAACCAAUGAUAGUUUAGAGUUUAUGGAAGCGGCCACUAAAACUCCGCGUGAAGCUUCCAAGUUGAGAUCUUUGGCAAGGAUAGUUUUACCCUCAAUAAUGGCAUUUAUGGAGUGGACAUGGCCUUCAUUUAAUUUAGGAGAAAGCGAGAAUGUGGAAUG
RNAcentral lists this long non-coding RNA (215 nucleotides) under Elaeis guineensis (African oil palm). RNAcentral describes it as "long non-coding RNA (EGUI_LNC045504)". The record is from RNAcentral. Lineage: Eukaryota; Viridiplantae; Streptophyta; Magnoliopsida; Arecales; Arecaceae.